ACCAUGAUGUUUUCGCUCUGGCAUAGAUUCAAUCCCACUCGUUGCUGGGCACCCGGCUUUGAGAUGUCGUCUUGACUGUCUUGGAGAAGCCGGGAAUCAGCUGUAGUGACAUUU
RNAcentral lists this non-coding RNA (114 nucleotides) under Ophiocordyceps sinensis. The record is from Rfam by way of RNAcentral. RNAcentral also lists the same sequence under 1 other name. Lineage: Eukaryota; Fungi; Ascomycota; Sordariomycetes; Hypocreales; Ophiocordycipitaceae.